GUGACCUCAAAUCAGGUAGGACUACCCGCUGAACUUAAGCAUAUCAAUAAGCGGAGGAAAAGAAACUAACAAGGAUUCCCCUAGUAACUGCGAGUGAAGCGGGAAAAGCUCAAAUUUAAAAUCUGGCAGUCUUUGGCUGUCCGAGUUGUAAUCUAGAGAAGUGUUAUCCGCGCUGGACCGUGUACAAGUCUCCUGGAAUGGAGCGUCAUAGAGGGUGAGAAUCCCGUCUUUGACACGGACUACCAGGGCUUUGUGAUGCGCUCUCAAAGAGUCGAGUUGUUUGGGAAUGCAGCUCAAAAUGGGUGGUAAAUUCCAUCUAAAGCUAAAUAUUGGCGAGAGACCGAUAGCGAACAAGUACCGUGAGGGAAAGAUGAAAAGAACUUUGGAAAGAGAGUUAAACAGUACGUGAAAUUGCUGAAAGGGAAACGCUUGAAGUCAGUCGCGUCGUCCAGGGAUCAACCUUGCUUUUGCUUGGUGCACUUUCUGGUUGACGGGUCAGCAUCAAUUUUGACCAUUGGAAAAAGAUCAAGGGAAUGUGACAUCUUUGGAUGUGUUAUAGCCCUUGGUUGCAUACGAUGGUUGGGAUUGAGGAACUCAGCACGCCGCAAGGCCGGGUUUUUAACCACGUACGUGCUUAGGAUGCUGGCAUAAUGGCUUUAAUCGACCCGUC
RNAcentral lists this ribosomal RNA (670 nucleotides) under Cortinarius cinnamomeus. RNAcentral's name for it is "eukaryotic LSU rRNA". It matches the Rfam family "Eukaryotic large subunit ribosomal RNA", at positions 1 to 653 of the family's 3401-position model. The record is from RNAcentral. Lineage: Eukaryota; Fungi; Basidiomycota; Agaricomycetes; Agaricales; Cortinariaceae.